GGUCCCUUAGCUCAACUGGAUAGAGCACCCGCCUUCUAAGCGGACGGUUGCAGGUUCGAGUCCUGCAGGGACCGCCA
This 77-nucleotide transfer RNA is filed under the name Pacificispira spongiicola. RNAcentral's name for it is "tRNA-Arg". It matches the Rfam family "tRNA". Rfam says of the family: Transfer RNA (tRNA) molecules are approximately 80 nucleotides in length. Their secondary structure includes four short double-helical elements and three loops (D, anti-codon, and T loops). Lineage: Bacteria; Pseudomonadati; Pseudomonadota; Alphaproteobacteria; Rhodospirillales; Aestuariispiraceae. The record is from RNAcentral.